Molecule: ribosomal RNA, 292 nt
Filed under: uncultured bacterium
Lineage: Bacteria
Description: partial 16S ribosomal RNA
Rfam family: Bacterial small subunit ribosomal RNA
Source: RNAcentral
GUGUCAGCCGCCGCGGUAAUACGAAGGGGGCUAGCGUUGUUCGGAUUUACUGGGCGUAAAGCGCGUGUAGGCGGGUCGUUAAGUUGGGGGUGAAAUCCCGGAGCUCAACUCCGGAACUGCCUUCAAAACUGGCGACCUGGACCUAAGUAGAGGCAAGUGGAAUUGCGAGUGUAGAGGUGAAAUUCGUAGAUAUUCGCAGGAACACCAGUGGCGAAGGCGACUUGCUGGACUUAUGGUGACGCUGAGACGCGAAAGCGUGGGGAGCAAACAGGAUUAGAUACCCCAGUAGUCC